Molecule: ribosomal RNA, 965 nt
Filed under: Candidatus Magasanikiibacteriota bacterium
Lineage: Bacteria; Candidatus Magasanikiibacteriota
Description: bacterial SSU rRNA
Rfam family: Bacterial small subunit ribosomal RNA
Source: RNAcentral
CGUAAAGCGUCCGCAGGUGGUUUGAAAAGUCAUUGGUCAAAUCUUGAAGCUCAACUUCAAGACUGCUUGUGAUACUUUCAGACUAGAGGAUGGGAGAGGCGAGUGGAAUUACCGGUGUAGUAGUAAAAUGCGUUUAUAUCGGUAAGAACACCAGAGGCGAAGGCGGCUCGCUGGAACAUUCCUGACACUCAUGGACGAAAGCGUGGGGAGCAAAACGGAUUAGAUACCCGUGUAGUCCACGCCCUAAACGAUGGAUACUAGGUAUUGGCAGUAUCGACCCUGUCAGUGCCGGUGACAAUAGCUAACGCGUUAAGUAUCCCGCCUGGGAAGUACGGUCGCAAGACUAAAACUCAAAGGAAUAGACGGGGACCCGCACAAGCGGUGGAGCAUGUGGUUUAAUUCGACGGUAAGCGAAGAACCUUACCAGGGCUUGAACUGUAGCUGCAAAUCCCAUGAAAGUGGGACUCCUUCGAGGGUGCUAUAGAGGUGCUGCAUGGUUGUCGUCAGCUCGUGCUGUGAAGUGUACCGUUAAGUCGGGAAACGAGCGCAACCCCUAUGCUGUGUUAAAUUGUACACAGCAAACUGCCUUGGAUAACAAGGAGGAAGGAAGGGAUGACGCCAAAUCAGCAUGGCUCUUACGUCCUGGGCCACACACGUGCUACAAUGGGAAGUAACAAAGGGUUUUGCCAAGUCGCGAGACGGAGCUAAUCCCAGAAACCUUCCCCCAGUUCAGAUUGGAGUCUGCAACUCGACUCCAUGAAGUCGGAAUCGCUAGUAAACGCCGAUCAGCCACGCGGCGUUGAAUACGUUCUCGGGUCUUGUACUCACCGCCCGUCAAGCCAAGGGAGUUGGCAAUGCCUGAAUCUCGUUUUCACGGGAGAGGGCAGGGUCAGCAACAGGGGCUAAGUCGUAACAAGGCAUCCGUAGCGGAAGCUGUGGAUGGAUCACCUCCUUUCUAAGGAGUA